RNAcentral lists this ribosomal RNA (600 nucleotides) under uncultured Bacteroidota bacterium. RNAcentral describes it as "bacterial SSU rRNA". It matches the Rfam family "Bacterial small subunit ribosomal RNA", at positions 54 to 649 of the family's 1533-position model. Lineage: Bacteria; Pseudomonadati; Bacteroidota. The record is from RNAcentral.
CAUGCAAGUCGAGGGGCAGCAUGGGACUUCGGUCCUGAUGGCGACCGGCGAACGGGUGAGUAACGCGUACACAACCUACCUUUAAGUGGGGGAUAGCCUUGGGAAACUAAGAUUAAUACCCCAUAGUAUUGGUUUAUUAAUGAUUGACCAAUUAAAGUUCCGACGCUUAAAGAUGGGUGUGCGUCCUAUUAGGUAGUUGGUGAGGUAACGGCUCACCAAGCCGACGAUAGGUAGGGGGCGUGAGAGCGUGACCCCCCACACGGGUACUGAGACACGGACCCGACUCCUACGGGAGGCAGCAGUAAGGAAUAUUGGACAAUGGGCGCAAGCCUGAUCCAGCCAUCCCGCGUGCAGGAUGAAUGCCCUCUGGGUUGUAAACUGCUUUUGUAAGGGAAGAAACCCCUGGAUUUAUCCGGGGCUGACGGUACCUUAAGAAUAAGCACCGGCUAACUCCGUGCCAGCAGCCGCGGUAAUACGGAGGGUGCAAGCGUUAUCCGGAAUCACUGGGUUUAAAGGGUGCGUAGGCGGCGUUGUAAGUCAGAGGUGAAAGCCCCCAGCUAAACUGGGGGAACUGCCUUUGAUACUGCAGUGCUUGAAUCA